Molecule: ribosomal RNA, 434 nt
Filed under: uncultured bacterium
Lineage: Bacteria
Description: partial 16S ribosomal RNA
Rfam family: Bacterial small subunit ribosomal RNA
Source: RNAcentral
ACGGAAGGCAGCAGUGGGGAAUAUUGGACAAUGGGCGCAAGCCUGAUCCAGCGACGCCGCGUGAGUGAAGAAGUAUUUCGGUAUGUAAAGCUCUAUCAGCAGGGAAGAUAAUGACGGUACCUGACUAAGAAGCUCCGGCUAAAUACGUGCCAGCAGCCGCGGUAAUACGUAUGGAGCAAGCGUUAUCCGGAUUUACUGGGUGUAAAGGGUGUGUAGGCGGCAUGGCAAGUCAGAAGUGAAAGACCGGGGCUCAACCCCGGGGCUGCUUUUGAAACUGCUGUGCUCGAGUCCAGGAGGGGCAAGCGGAAUUCCUAGUGUAGCGGUGAAAUGCGUAGAUAUUAGGAAGAACACCGGUGGCGAAGGCGGCUUGCUGGACUGGAACUGACGCUGAGGCACGAAAGCGUGGGGAGCAAACAGGAUUAGAUACCCUGGUA